GACGAACGCUGGCGGCGUGCCUAAUACAUGCAAGUCGAACGAACCGCGACUAGGUGCUUGCACUUGGCCAAGGUGAGUGGCGAACGGGUGAGUAACACGUGGGUAACCUACCUCAUAGUGGGGGAUAACAGUCGGAAACGACUGCUAAUACCGCAUAGGACAUAGGAUCACAUGAUCCAGUGAGGAAAGGUGGCGCAAGCUAUCGCUAAGAGAUGGACCCGCGGUGCAUUAGCUAGUUGGUAGGGUAAAGGCCUACCAAGGCGAUGAUGCAUAGCCGACCUGAGAGGGUGAUCGGCCACAUUGGGACUGAGACACGGCCCAAACUCCUACGGGAGGCAGCAGUAGGGAAUCUUCCGCAAUGGACGCAAGUCUGACGGAGCAACGCCGCGUGAGUGAAGAAGGUCUUCGGAUCGUAAAGCUCUGUUGUUAGAGAAGAACAGCGCAUAGAGUAACUGUUAUGCGUGUGACGGUAUCUAACCAGAAAGCCACGGCUAACUACGUG
Molecule: ribosomal RNA, 502 nt
Filed under: uncultured bacterium
Lineage: Bacteria
Description: partial 16S ribosomal RNA
Rfam family: Bacterial small subunit ribosomal RNA
Source: RNAcentral